RNAcentral lists this microRNA (18 nucleotides) under Corchorus olitorius. RNAcentral describes it as "cin-miR-4117-". Lineage: Eukaryota; Viridiplantae; Streptophyta; Magnoliopsida; Malvales; Malvaceae. The record is from RNAcentral.
UGUGUGAAUGCAAUAAAA